This 376-nucleotide ribosomal RNA is filed under the name uncultured organism. RNAcentral describes it as "bacterial SSU rRNA". It matches the Rfam family "Archaeal small subunit ribosomal RNA", at positions 476 to 851 of the family's 1478-position model. The record is from RNAcentral.
CCAGCACCCCGAGUGGUCGGGACGAUUAUUGGGCCUAAAGCAUCCGUAGCCGGUUUUACAAGUCCUCCGUUAAAUCCAACUGCUUAACAGAUGGGCCGCGGAGGAUACUAUAAGACUAGGAGGCAGGAGAGGCAAGCGGUACUCAGUGGGUAGGGGUAAAAUCCGUUGAUCCAUUGAAGACCACCAGUGGCGAAGGCGGCUUGCCAGAAUGCGCUCGACGGUGAGGGAUGAAAGCUGGGGGGAGCAAACCGGAUUAGAUACCCGGGUAGUCCCAGCUGUAAACGAUGCAGACUCGGUGAUGGACUAGCUUCAUGCUAGUCCAGUGCCGCAGGGAAGCCGUUAAGUCUGCCGCCUGGGUAGUACGGUCGCAAGACUG